Molecule: ribosomal RNA, 453 nt
Filed under: uncultured bacterium
Lineage: Bacteria
Description: bacterial SSU rRNA
Rfam family: Bacterial small subunit ribosomal RNA
Source: RNAcentral
UACGGAAGGCAGCAGUGGGGAAUAUUGCACAAUGGGCGCAAGCCUGAUGCAGCCAUGCCGCGUGUAUGAAGAAGGCCUUCGGGUUGUAAAGUACUUUCAGUCGUGAGGAAGGUGUUAAGGUUAAUAACCUUAGCAAUUGACGUUAGCGACAGAAGAAGCACCGGCUAACUCCGUGCCAGCAGCCGCGGUAAUACGGAGGGUGCGAGCGUUAAUCGGAAUUACUGGGCGUAAAGGGCACGCAGGCGGUUAAUUAAGUUGGAUGUGAAAUCCCCGGGCUUAACCUGGGAAUGGCAUUCAAGACUGGUUAGCUAGAGUCUUGUAGAGGGGGUAGAAUUCCAUGUGUAGCGGUGAAAUGCGUAGAGAUGUGGAGGAAUACCGGUGGCGAAGGCGGCCCCUGGGACAAAGACUGACGCUCAUGUGCGAAAGCGUGGGGAGCGAAACAGGGAUUAGAUA